This 253-nucleotide ribosomal RNA is filed under the name uncultured bacterium. RNAcentral describes it as "partial 16S ribosomal RNA". It matches the Rfam family "Bacterial small subunit ribosomal RNA", at positions 524 to 776 of the family's 1533-position model. The record is from RNAcentral.
UACAGAGGGUGCGAGCGUUAAUCGGAAUUACUGGGCGUAAAGCGUGCGUAGACGGUUAUAUAAGUCGGGUGUGAAAGCCCCGGGCUCAACCUGGGAAUUGCAUUCGAGACUGCAUAGCUAGGGUGCGGAAGAGGGAAGCGGAAUUUCCGGUGUAGCGGUGAAAUGCGCAGAUAUCGGGAGGAACACCAAUGGCGAAGGCAGCUCGCUGGGACGGUACUGACGCUGAGACGCGAAGGCGUGGGGAGCAAACAGG